UACGAAGGGGGCUAGCGGUGUUCGGAAUCACUGGGCGUAAAGCGCACGUAGGCGGACUUUUAAGUCAGGGGUGAAAUCCCAGGGCUCAACCCUGGAACUGCCCUUGAUACUGAAAGUCUCGAGUCCGGGAGAGGUGAGUGGAACUCCGAGUGUAGAGGUGAAAUUCGUAGAUAUUCGGAAGAACACCAGUGGCGAAGGCGGCUCACUGGCCCGGUACUGACGCUGAGGUGCGAAAGCGUGGGGAGCAAACAGG
This 253-nucleotide ribosomal RNA is filed under the name uncultured bacterium. Its description in RNAcentral is "partial 16S ribosomal RNA". It matches the Rfam family "Bacterial small subunit ribosomal RNA", at positions 524 to 776 of the family's 1533-position model. The record is from RNAcentral.